This is a long non-coding RNA of Athene cunicularia (burrowing owl), 146 nucleotides long. RefSeq lists it as uncharacterized. NCBI's taxonomy places the organism in Eukaryota, Metazoa, Chordata, Aves, Strigiformes, Strigidae. The transcript is spliced from 3 exons. The record is from RefSeq and is a predicted model, not a curated record.
CCUUUAGAAACAGAAGAUACAGACAAAAUUACAACAGCAAUUUUCUACUCAAUCAGUUUGACUCAGCAGGGACUGCAAGGUGUGGAACUUGGGACUUACCUCAUCAAGCGGGUUGUAAAAGAGCUGCAGAAGAAUUUAAAAGCACA